This 960-nucleotide long non-coding RNA is filed under the name Homo sapiens (human). RNAcentral's name for it is "HSALNT0353384". Lineage: Eukaryota; Metazoa; Chordata; Mammalia; Primates; Hominidae. The record is from RNAcentral.
CUUAACGAGGCUGUGGCUGCCUGAGGUGUCAUUCAGUUCGUUAGGGAGGAAGAAGGGAAAAUGAAUAUUGCAGAGGCAGCUGGUGGUCUCUGCCACAGACCAUCCCACCCCCCUGCAGUCUUUCAUGUCUCUCCCUGCUCUAUUAUCAGAAGUUUCCUGGCCUGUCUAUGAUUCCCAGCUCUUAAAUUUUUUUUGGUGGAGGAGUGGGAAGAAGCUAACAUGUUAGAGUCUAUGAGGGUUUAAUAUUUGUUAUGAAAGGGUUACUGUAUGGAUGAACUUUUAAUAGCAUAAUUUCAGGUAUUUGCGGUAAUCUGAAGGAGAAGAGACAUUAUGAGGCAACUACACUUUGCACAUGGAAGGCCACACUGGAUGUCACCUCCUCCCCAGGGUCCCACAGACUUGCUGGCCUCCCCUCGGCUCUCCAUUGAUUUUUCAGAGCUGGAUCUAACAGAGCCUCCUCACCUCCAGUCUUCAAGCUGCUCCAGUUUCCAACAAGCAUUCAUGGGUCUAGGAAUCAAGGGGCAGAAGUGGAAGUGGCACCACUUACCAUCACCCCUAGUGACCCACUAGCAAAAUAUUUGCUUCCUGUUCCCAUGACUUUGUGCCUUGCUGGCCUAGAGGCCUUAGUUCCAGAGAAAAGAAUGCUUCCUUCAGGAGACACAACAAUGAGUCCGUUGAACUGGAAGUUAAGACUGCCACCCGACUGCUUUGGGUUCUUCAUGCCUCUGGGUCAUCAGGCCAGGAAGGGAAUUAUGGUGUUGGCUGGCAUGUUGAUCUUGACUACCAAGGGAAAAUUCUACUACUACACCACAAUAGAGGCUCACUUGCCCUUCCUCCUGCUACCAUGAAUGAUGCAGCAUAAAGGCCCUCAUCAGAUGCUGGCCCCUUGAUCCUGGACUUCCCAGCCUCCAGGACCAUAAGAAAUAAAUUGCUGUUCAUUACAAACUACCCAGUCUCAGG